This 446-nucleotide ribosomal RNA is filed under the name uncultured bacterium. Its description in RNAcentral is "bacterial SSU rRNA". It matches the Rfam family "Bacterial small subunit ribosomal RNA", at positions 331 to 792 of the family's 1533-position model. The record is from RNAcentral.
CCAGACUCCUACGGGAGGCAGCAGUGGGGAAUAUUGGGCAAUGGGCGCAAGCCUGACCCAGCAACGCCGCGUGAAGGAAGAAGGCUUUCGGGUUGUAAACUUCUUUUAAGAGGGAAGAGUAGAAGACGGUACCUCUUGAAUAAGCCACGGCUAACUACGUGCCAGCAGCCGCGGUAAUACGUAGGGGGCAAGCGUUAUCCGGAUUUACUGGGUGUAAAGGGAGCGUAGACGGCAGUGCAAGUCCGGAGUGAAAGCCCGGGGCUCAACCCUGGGACUGCUCUGGAAGCUGUAAAGCUGGAGUGCGGGAGGGGCAGGCGGAAUUCCUGGUGUAGCGGUGAAAUGCGUAGAUAUCAGGAGGAACACCGGCGGCGAAGGCGGCCUGCUGGACCGUAACUGACGUUGAGGCUCGAAAGCGUGGGGAGCAAACAGGAUUAGAUACCCUAGUA